RNAcentral lists this ribosomal RNA (468 nucleotides) under uncultured bacterium. RNAcentral's name for it is "partial 16S ribosomal RNA". It matches the Rfam family "Bacterial small subunit ribosomal RNA", at positions 28 to 507 of the family's 1533-position model. The record is from RNAcentral.
GGCGAACGCUGGCGGCGUGCUUAACACAUGCAAGUCGAACGGAAAGGCCCUGCUUUUGUGGGGUGCUCGAGUGGCGAACGGGUGAGUAACACGUGAGUAACCUGCCCUUGACUUUGGGAUAACUUCAGGAAACUGGGGCUAAUACCGGAUAGGAGCUCCUGCUGCAUGGUGGGGGUUGGAAAGUUUCGGCGGUUGGGGAUGGACUCGCGGCUUAUCAGCUUGUUGGUGGGGUAGUGGCUUACCAAGGCUUUGACGGGUAGCCGGCCUGAGAGGGUGACCGGCCACAUUGGGACUGAGAGACGGCCCAGACUCCUACGGGAGGCAGCAGUGGGGAAUAUUGCACAAUGGGCGGAAGCCGGAUGCAGCAACGCCGCGUGCGGGAUGACGGCCUUCGGGUUGUAAACCGCUUUCGCCUGUGACGAAGCGGGAGUGACGGUAAUGGGUAAAGAAGCACCGGCUAACUACGUG